AUUUUGGUGGCUGAUUAAGGCGAUAGAUUGUAAAUCUUUUCAUGGUGUAUUCCACCCCUUAGGAUU
RNAcentral lists this transfer RNA (66 nucleotides) under Aplysia kurodai (Kuroda's sea hare). RNAcentral's name for it is "tRNA-Tyr". Lineage: Eukaryota; Metazoa; Mollusca; Gastropoda; Aplysiida; Aplysiidae. The record is from RNAcentral.